Molecule: transfer RNA, 71 nt
Filed under: Marmota monax (woodchuck)
Lineage: Eukaryota; Metazoa; Chordata; Mammalia; Rodentia; Sciuridae
Description: tRNA.Ala
Source: RNAcentral
GGGGUUGUGGCUCAGUGGUAGACAACUUGCCUAGCAAGUGUGAGGCCCUGAGUUCGAUUCUCAGCACCUCA